RNAcentral lists this ribosomal RNA (318 nucleotides) under uncultured Syndiniales. Its description in RNAcentral is "SSU rRNA". It matches the Rfam family "Eukaryotic small subunit ribosomal RNA", at positions 691 to 1010 of the family's 1831-position model. Lineage: Eukaryota; Dinophyceae; Syndiniales. The record is from RNAcentral.
AUCUGGCCCUUUCAAGGGGAACGUGCCUUCACUAUAUUGUGUGGUGCGAGAUCCUUGACUUUUACUUUGAGGAAAUAAGAGUGUUCCAAGCAGGCUCUCUCCCUGAAUAGCUCAGCAUGGAAUAAUAGCAUUGGACUUCGUUUCUAAGCUGUUGGUUGCAAGAAGCGAGGUAAUGAUGAAGAGGGAUAGUUGGGGGCAUUCGUAUUUAACUGUCAGAGGUGAAAUUCUUGGAUUUGUUAAAGACUUUUUUCUGCGAAAGCAUCUGCCAUGGAUGUUUUCAUUGAUCAAGAACGAAAGUUAGGGGAUCGAAGACGAUCA